Long non-coding RNA from Myotis myotis, 517 nucleotides. RefSeq lists it as uncharacterized. The record is from RefSeq and is a predicted model, not a curated record. The transcript has 3 exons. Lineage: Eukaryota; Metazoa; Chordata; Mammalia; Chiroptera; Vespertilionidae.
UGGAUGCUUCCACAGUCCUCAGCUGCUGCACAAAAUCUCCGCGCAGCAUGACUCCUGGAAGCCAAAGGGAGCUCCCAGCGGCCGGAGGAGGGGCGACGCGCCUGGCUCCACUCGCCAGAGCACGCACUCCCCCGCAGCCUCGGCGGGGCCCGCGGCCUCCGGCAGGAACACACAUGGAGUAGGAUGGUGCUGGCUGGUCCUGAGGGGAAUUCAGCCUGUGUGGAUAUUAGCUGAAGUGUGAGGAGCUGAGCUAAUCCCACAAAUGCAAUUUAAGGAAGCCUGGAAAUGAGAUAGUGGUGACAAUCUCUAAUUACUGUUGACAGCGAAGAGGAAGAAGCAUAAUAGGAGAGCCAGAAUCCUGCCCCGCCCCCACCCUGCUGUUGAUGAAAACAGAACAGCAACAGCUGCCUCUUACAGCAGAGUCCUGUUUCCAUCCACAUGGGUACCAGACUGCACUCCAAGGAGAUGAAGCAAAGUCUGUUUUUCUAAACAUCAAAAAAAUUGUGUGUGUGUCCAA